RNAcentral lists this ribosomal RNA (172 nucleotides) under uncultured bacterium. Its description in RNAcentral is "partial 16S ribosomal RNA". It matches the Rfam family "Bacterial small subunit ribosomal RNA", at positions 118 to 291 of the family's 1533-position model. The record is from RNAcentral.
UGAGCAAUCUGCCCCUCUCAUCGGAAUAAGCGUUGGAAACGACGUCUAAUGCCGAAUACGACCUCCUUUCACAUGAUCGGAGGUGGAAAGCUCCGGCGGAGAAGGAUGAGCUCGCGGCCUACCAGCUAGUUGGUGAGGUAACGGCCCACCAAGGCGACGACGGGUAGCUGGU